Molecule: long non-coding RNA, 295 nt
Filed under: Homo sapiens (human)
Lineage: Eukaryota; Metazoa; Chordata; Mammalia; Primates; Hominidae
Description: non-protein coding lnc-PDZD8-5:1
Source: RNAcentral
GCAGCGAGAUGCACACCUUCUCAAGUUUUUAAUGAUUUAUCUUGCUAGGUGCUUAUUAAGGAUUGUAACAUCUUGCAGUGAAAGUGGCUUCCUGGAAACCUAUAAUUCUUACUGUUUGGCCUUUCAGGAUCGUCUCUUCCACUUCCUUCAGCAUUUUUUUAAAACAUGAACUGAAGUAUUCGUUUAAAUGGGGAAAGAGGAGGGGUACUGAGGCCUGCCUUCUGCCAGUCCUUCUGCGGAACACAGUGGUAGUUGGCUGGGCAAGCACAUUCUCUGCUCAUCCUCUGACCUCAUU